UACGAGGGGUGCAAGCGUUGCUCGGAAUUAUUGGGCGUAAAGGGUAGGUAGGUGGUCUCAUUUGUCAGAGGUGAAAGCCUUGGGCUUAACCCAAGAAGUGCCUCUGAAACGGUGGGACUAGAGUCCUGGAGAGGGUCGUGGAAUUCCCGGUGUAGCGGUGAAAUGCGCAGAUAUCAGGAGGAACACCAAUGGCGAAGGCAGCUCGCUGGGACGGUACUGACGCUGAGACGCGAAAGCGUGGGA
This 243-nucleotide ribosomal RNA is filed under the name uncultured bacterium. Its description in RNAcentral is "partial 16S ribosomal RNA". It matches the Rfam family "Bacterial small subunit ribosomal RNA", at positions 524 to 766 of the family's 1533-position model. The record is from RNAcentral.